Oncorhynchus keta (chum salmon) is the source of this 1534-nucleotide long non-coding RNA. RefSeq lists it as uncharacterized. Lineage: Eukaryota; Metazoa; Chordata; Actinopteri; Salmoniformes; Salmonidae. The transcript is spliced from 4 exons. The record is from RefSeq and is a predicted model, not a curated record.
AGGAGUGAUAGAGAGAGAGAGGAGUGAGAGAAAUAGCGUAGAGAGAGUAGAGAGAGAAAAAGGAGUGAGCGAGCGAGAAAUAGAGUAGAGAGAGGAGUGAGCGAGCAAGAAAUAGAGUAGAGAGGAGUGAGAGAGGAGUGAGAGGAGAGAGAGGAGAGAGAGAGAAGUGAGAGAGAAGUGAGAGAAGUGAGAGAGAGGAGAGAGAGAAGUGAGAGAGAGGAGAGAGAAAAGUGAGAGAGAGGAGAGAGAGAAGUGAGAGAGAGGAGAGAGAGGAGUGAUAGAGAGGAGAGAGAGGAGAGAGAAAGAGAGAGGGAGGAGUGAGAGAGAGGGAGGAGUGAGAGAGAGGAGUGAUAGAGAGAGAGAGAGAGAGAGAGAGGAGUGAGAGAAAUAGCGUAGAGAGAGUAGAGAGAGAAAAAGGAGUGAGCGAGCGAGAAAUAGAGUAGAGAGAGGAGUGAGCGAACAAGAAAUAGAGUAGAGAGAGGAGUGAGCGAGCAAGAAAUAGAGUAGAGAGAGGAGUGAGCGAGCAAGAAAUAGAGUAGAGAGAGGAGUGAGCGAGCAAGAAAUAGAGUAGAGAGAGGAGUGAGCGAGCAAGAAAUAGAGUAGAGAGAGGAGUGAGCGAGCAAGAAAUAGAGUAGAGAGAGGAGUGAGCGAGCAAGAAAUAGAGUAGAGAGAGGAGUGAGCGAGCAAGAAAUAGAGUAGAGAGAGGAGUGAGCGAGCAAGAAAUAGAGUAGAGAGAGGAGUGAGCGAGCAAGAAAUAGAGUAGAGAGAGGAGUGAGCGAGCAAGAAAUAGAGUAGAGAGAGGAGUGAGCGAGCAAGAAAUAGAGUAGAGAGGAGUGAGCGAGCAAGAAAUAGAGUAGAGAGAGGAGUGAGCGAGCAAGAAAUAGAGUAGAGAGAGGAGUGAGCGAGCAAGAAAUAGAGUAGAGAGAGGAGUGAGCGAGCAAGAAAUAGAGUAGAGAGAGGAGUGAGCGAGCAAGAAAUAGAGUAGAGAGAGGAGUGAGCGAGCAAGAAAUAGAGUAGAGAGGAGUGAGAGAGGAGUGAGAGGAGAGAGAGGAGAGAAGUGAGAGAGAAGUGAGAGAAGUGAGAGAGAGGAGAGAGAGAAGUGAGAGAGAGGAGAGAGAGAAGUGAGAGAGAGGAGAGAGAGAAGUGAGAGAGAGGAGAGAGAGGAGUGAUAGAGAGGAGAGAGAGGAGAGAGAAAGAGAGAGGGAGGAGUGAGAGAGAGGGAGGAGUGAGAGAGAGAAAUAGAGUAGAGAGAAAUAGAGUAGAGAGAGUAGUGAGAGAGAGAAAGAGAGUAGAGAGGAGUGAGAGAGAAAUAGAGUAGAUAAAGAGAGAAUAGAGAGAGAAAUAACAUAACUGAAACCCAUGUGAACCAAGAUAGCCAUCUUGUAGUCAUAUUACUAGAGCUCCAAUAUCCUUGUAGAAUUCAUAGUCUGUGGUAGGGUCUGCCUCGAACAACGUGUCAGGGUAGACUUACGGGUUGGUGUGUGGAGUGUAUGAGGAAACUGUGUGUAUGAGGAGUGUGUGUGUGACUCACUUG